Molecule: ribosomal RNA, 497 nt
Filed under: uncultured bacterium
Lineage: Bacteria
Description: partial 16S ribosomal RNA
Rfam family: Bacterial small subunit ribosomal RNA
Source: RNAcentral
GAUGAACGCUGGCGGCGUGCCUAAUACAUGCCAGUCGAGCGAACAGACGAGGAGCUUGCUCCUCUGACGUUAGCGGCGGACGGGUGAGUAACACGUGGAUAACCUACCUAUAAGACUGGGAUAACUUCGGGAAACCGGAGCUAAUACCGGAUAAUAUAUUGAACCGCAUGGUUCAAUAGUGAAAGACGGUUUUGCUGUCACUUAUAGAUGGAUCCGCGCCGCAUUAGCUAGUUGGUAAGGUAACGGCUCACCAAGGCAACGAUGCGUAGCCGACCUGAGAGGGUGAUCGGCCACACUGGAACUGAGACACGGUCCAGACUCCUACGGGAGGCAGCAGUAGGGAAUCUUCCGCAAUGGGCGAAAGCUUGACGGAGCAACGCCGCGUGAGUGAUGAAGGUCUUCGGAUCGUAAAACUCUGUUAUUAGGGAAGAACAAAUGUGUAAGUAACUAUGCACGUCUUGACGGUACCUAAUCAGAAAGCCACGGCUAACUACGUG